RNAcentral lists this ribosomal RNA (436 nucleotides) under uncultured bacterium. RNAcentral's name for it is "bacterial SSU rRNA". It matches the Rfam family "Bacterial small subunit ribosomal RNA", at positions 355 to 796 of the family's 1533-position model. The record is from RNAcentral.
UCGAGAAUCUUCGGCAAUGGGCGCAAGCCUGACCGAGCGACGCCGCGUGGAGGACGAAGGCCUUCGGGUUGUAAACUCCUGUCGAGGGGGAAGAAGGGCCUAAAAGCCUUGACUGAUCCCUGGAGGAAGCACGGGCUAAGUUCGUGCCAGCAGCCGCGGUAAGACGAACCGUGCGAACGUUAUUCGGAAUCACUGGGCUUAAAGCGCGUGUAGGUGGGACGGCACGUCGGUCGUUGAAAUCCCCCGGCUCAACCGGGGAAGGGGCGCCGAUACGACCGUCCUGGAGGGACGUAGGGGGACCUGGAACUUCCGGUGGAGCGGUGAAAUGCGUUGAGAUCGGAAGGAACGCCCGUGGCGAAAGCGAGGUCCUGGACGUUUUCUGACACUGAGACGCGAAAGCCAGGGGAGCGAACGGGAUUAGAUACCCCCGUAGUCC